GGAAUAUUGCACAAUGGGGGAAACCCUGAUGCAGCCAUGCCGCGUGUGUGAAGAAGGCCUUCGGGUUGUAAAGCACUUUCAGUAGGGAGGAAAGGGUGAGUCUUAAUACGGCUCAUCUGUGACGUUACCUACAGAAGAAGGACCGGCUAACUCCGUGCCAGCAGCCGCGGUAAUACGGAGGGUCCGAGCGUUAAUCGGAAUUACUGGGCGUAAAGCGUGCGCAGGCGGUUUGUUAAGCGAGAUGUGAAAGCCCUGGGCUCAACCUAGGAAUAGCAUUUCGAACUGGCGAACUAGAGUCUUGUAGAGGGGGGUAGAAUUCCAGGUGUAGCGGUGAAAUGCGUAGAGAUCUGGAGGAAUACCGGUGGCGAAGGCGGCCCCCUGGACAAAGACUGACGCUCAUGCACGAAAGCGUGGGGAGCAAACAGGAUUAGAUACCCGUG
Molecule: ribosomal RNA, 440 nt
Filed under: uncultured Shewanella sp.
Lineage: Bacteria; Pseudomonadati; Pseudomonadota; Gammaproteobacteria; Alteromonadales; Shewanellaceae
Description: bacterial SSU rRNA
Rfam family: Bacterial small subunit ribosomal RNA
Source: RNAcentral